RNAcentral lists this ribosomal RNA (744 nucleotides) under Streptomyces sp. AML190. RNAcentral describes it as "bacterial SSU rRNA". It matches the Rfam family "Bacterial small subunit ribosomal RNA", at positions 68 to 826 of the family's 1533-position model. The record is from RNAcentral. Lineage: Bacteria; Bacillati; Actinomycetota; Actinomycetes; Kitasatosporales; Streptomycetaceae.
GAUGAACCUCUUUCGGGAGGGGAUUAGUGGCGAACGGGUGAGUAACACGUGGGCAAUCUGCCCUGCACUCUGGGACAAGCCCUGGAAACGGGGUCUAAUACCGGAUAUGACCACUUGGGGCAUCUCAUGGUGGUGGAAAGCUCCGGCGGUGCAGGAUGAGCCCGCGGCCUAUCAGCUUGUUGGUGGGGUGAUGGCCUACCAAGGCGACGACGGGUAGCCGGCCUGAGAGGGCGACCGGCCACACUGGGACUGAGACACGGCCCAGACUCCUACGGGAGGCAGCAGUGGGGAAUAUUGCACAAUGGGCGCAAGCCUGAUGCAGCGACGCCGCGUGAGGGAUGACGGCCUUCGGGUUGUAAACCUCUUUCAGCAGGGAAGAAGCGUGAGUGACGGUACCUGCAGAAGAAGCACCGGCUAACUACGUGCCAGCAGCCGCGGUAAUACGUAGGGUGCGAGCGUUGUCCGGAAUUAUUGGGCGUAAAGAGCUCGUAGGCGGCUUGUCGCGUCGGAUGUGAAAGCCCGGGGCUUAACCCCGGGUCUGCAUUCGAUACGGGCAGGCUGGAGUUCGGCAGGGGAGAUCGGAAUUCCUGGUGUAGCGGUGAAAUGCGCAGAUAUCAGGAGGAACACCGGUGGCGAAGGCGGAUCUCUGGGCCGAUACUGACGCUGAGGAGCGAAAGCGUGGGGAGCGAACAGGAUUAGAUACCCUGGUAGUCCACGCCGUAAACGUUGGGCACUAGGUGUGGG